CGUUUAGUAAUAAAUUUGUCGCAUAAGCCAUCCAUUAGUCAAUAAGUGAGCAUUAUACUGAACCGUUGAACGAGAGCGCAAGCCGUCACGCGCCCAAUCAGUUGAGCACCUCUGCCUGAAAGCUUUCAUCAGCCCAGCCAUCCUACGCACCCAACGAUUAGAUGCAGAAAAUUACCACGCACGAAUACCACUGAUAUUCGAUACUGGAACGUGUGCGAUCGCGACGGCGAACGAGAGUCAGCUUUGGUAAACCCAUACCAAAGAAAAGUGGUGUUCAACAUCGUCGUUCAACAUCCAUCAAGACACCAUAUCAGCCCGCACAAAUCGCAGCUCCGAGUGGUGGUAACAAUAACUCACACCACUUCAAGCUGUCGGGGGAAAAACGAUCGAGCAAACGGAGCCUCCACAUUGUGCUGGAGUUCGAUCUGGGGAGCAGUCGCGCAUCUGCGAGCAAAAGUAAUUUAGCCGGACGACAAUUAGAAGCACGUUUCCUGCAUUGAUCGGGUGCAAUUAAGAUUCAGUAGUCGCGAGUGGAAAAAGUGUGACGCUGAUACAGGACCCCGCAGGAAGAACCCACUUGAAAACUCCAUCGAAAGCAAGAACCGGAUCAAUUGUUGUUCGCUCGGUUGAUUCCGCGAGAUCGUGAUCUUCGACCAGGGCAAAGCGUGGAGCGUCGCAUCGACCCGGAAUUCCGAUAGCUGGCUGUAGUCGGUCGGCAUCGUGGUUGCUGAAAAGCAGUGAUAGCUGACUGGCCGGUGCGACAGUUACCAUCCGUCGAGAAAGGGCAACCAUCCGACACGCCGUAGUAGAAGAAACGCAAAAGGCCCCGCAAGGGGUUCUUUUUUCCCGUUUUUCUUAUUGGAUUUUCGGCAUUCUAUCAGUCGGACCGUAGACUGGCGUGACAUCGAUCCACGAUCGGCGAAGGACGAUUCUUCAACCAAAGCAAAUCCCCAGCGGGACCGUUCAGAGUCCGGUGACGGCGAGGGAGUGAACCCGACCGAAGAGAGGACGACUAUAUCGGUCACGUGAGUUUCUCCUCACGACGGGAGGUUGAAUCCGAUGGUGCUUUGUGGUGGUGCAGGGCAGGCCGCGAGCGGUCAAAAGCGGAUGGGCUGGCAACUCGCCGUGCCAAGCGAACGGGCCGACCUGGUGGCGACGGAUUGAGGCGGUACCGUGAGUACCUAAUUCUAGUUUAAGACAUGACUGCAAGACCAUUAGCAUAAGAUUUAGCGAGGAGUAGGGUUCAGGUAGGCCGAAGAAAGAUGGCAAAUACAUGUAAUUAAAAUGUUAAUUUUGGCUUUGUGAUUUCGUUGGUGUCUUGGCCCUUUUGGUGUCUGCUUUGUGUUUCGCUUCGGUAGUUUUUGCUCUGCCCCUACCGGGAAACUU
This is a long non-coding RNA of Aedes albopictus (Asian tiger mosquito), 1386 nucleotides long. RefSeq lists it as uncharacterized. The transcript has 4 exons. NCBI's taxonomy places the organism in Eukaryota, Metazoa, Arthropoda, Insecta, Diptera, Culicidae. The record is from RefSeq and is a predicted model, not a curated record.